GUAGGUGGCGAGCGUUAUCCGGAAUUACUGGGCGUAAAGGGCACGCAGGCGGCCAAGCAAGUCUGACGUGAAAGCUCCUGGCUUAACUGGGAGAGGUCGUUGGAAACUGCCUGGCUUGAGGUAAUGAGAGGGGUGCGGAAUUCCCGGUGUAGUGGUGGAAUGCGUAGAUAUCGGGAGGAACACCAGUGGCGAAAGCGGCACCCUAGCAUUGACCUGACGCUCAUGUGCGAAAGCGUGGGGAGCGAACGGGAUUAGAUACCCCGGUAGUCCACGCUGUAAACGAUGAGAACUAGGUGUGGGUAGUGUUAAAACUAUCUGUGCCGAAGCAAACGCGAUAAGUUCUCCGCCUGGGGAGUACGGCCGCAAGGCUA
This 371-nucleotide ribosomal RNA is filed under the name uncultured organism. RNAcentral describes it as "partial 16S ribosomal RNA". It matches the Rfam family "Bacterial small subunit ribosomal RNA", at positions 527 to 896 of the family's 1533-position model. The record is from RNAcentral.